This is a long non-coding RNA of Myotis daubentonii (Daubenton's bat), 1839 nucleotides long. RefSeq lists it as uncharacterized. The record is from RefSeq and is a predicted model, not a curated record. NCBI's taxonomy places the organism in Eukaryota, Metazoa, Chordata, Mammalia, Chiroptera, Vespertilionidae.
CCAAAAUUUCUUCAGUUAAUUUUUGAACGUGCUCAUUUUUUGGACAAAGAAUUGCAUGUUUAGAUAUAUUUUUAAUAUUAUCUAUAGAUAUACUAUUUCCAAAGGUAGCUUCAAUAAUAGAUCCAUUACAAAUCAUUUCACAGGGGAUUUCAGUAAUAUCCAUUCCUAAAUGAAAAUUGCUAUCAAGUUUGCCAUCUCCAAGUUUUACUAACCAUUCAUCAUAAGCAUAAUCCUCUGAUCUCAUAUUUGUUGUAAGAGACAACUUUCUGAAACAUCCCCAAACAAAUUGAAAUCAUGAGAGAAAAGGAAUCUAAUUGGCCCAUUCUGGGAUACAUCUCAUCUACUGACCAGAGGAAAGCACGGCAUAUUCUCUGCAAUACAUAAAUGGAGCUGUAUUUAUCAAAAUUAGAGGAUAUUCAUGCUGGAAAGGGAGAAGUAACAGUUGACAGGACCCUGAAGAUUUUCCUUUGGUCAAUCAGUCAUCCUUCAUCGGUCCAUAUGAUUCCAGUAGGGUUGACUUCACCCCCGAUGUCCCCUCCAUUUACUCCUCAUUUUUGCUGUGAGGGAUUGUAGUUCUGUAAAAGAUCCCAGAUGAGAGCUCUGAGGAGUUGACUUUAGUGUCCAGCACCAGGUAGGGAAAGCUUUGCAUCUUUGGAGCACAAAUAGGACAGAAACAGCGAAAGAUCACAUACAAUGGAGCCAGGGAAAAGCAGGACCUGGACAUGGAGUAAGCUAGUUUCAGGUGCUGAACAGAGGGCUGCAUUUAGGAGGCUGACUGCUUCCCAUAAACCCCAACAAAAGAAGAGGUGAAGCCACCUGGGUCUCUGGGAAGUCAUUCAUUGGAGAGAAAAUUUUAGCAUCUCUUCCAGCAGAUGAGCAGUACUUAGAGUCAAAGACCAGUCUUGGAGCAAAGUGAGGUUCAGGAAGGGGGAGAUCAGUGAUAACGUUUGAGUAAAAAUGAAGAGUUUAAUUUCAGUUCAACAGCCGAGAUUCUGGUGGGAACUAGAGACAUAAACGUACAGUACUAUUAAGCAAAUGGAAUGACAUGGAUGAACACAUUGGGUGGUGUUGUGCUGGCGAGACUGUUCAGGGACAAUUUCCUGGUGGAAAUAAGAUCUGAGCCAUCUUAAAAGAAAUAUAAGAGUUAUGGGAGAGAAGUUCAUUGCAAGCCUGAGGUACAACAUGAGCAAGGAGCAAAGGUAGCAGAGUGACAAUAAGUGUGCACGUUUGUGAGAAUCACCAGGUGUGUCUGUCAAAUCAGAAGCUGUUCAGUGCAGUGGAGCCUAAGCCCAAGGAAAGGAGAAGAUAGUAAGUGAGCUGGAGAAGGAAGCAGCGCCCAGAUCAUGAAAGGCCUUUGGUAUCUUGAGACAGAAUUUGGUCAUUUUCCUGUAGAUCAGAGCUCACAAGUUGGUAAACCAUGAGCUAGGUUUGACCCUCAGAUAUUUUAUUUAUCUUAUACAAUAUUAUUUUAAAAAUUGAAAUAUCAUUUAACAAUCAGGAGGUUUCACAUAUAAAAAAAAUCUAGAUUUCUGAUCUUUCUAGAAAAAAAUGAGAUCUGACAAUGCUGAGCCUGCACGCUGAUAUGGUGAAAAUUACCCAGAAAUAAAUACUAGCUGUCUGAUUGGGGCAUGUGCAUUUCCAGUUCCCCUCAGCCCCCUGUACUCUCCCCUGCUUCCUCAACCAGCACCCAGCUUCUCUCUUUUUAUCUGCAUGACCCUUGUAGUAAAGAAAGAUUUAGAUAUGAGCAUACACAGUGUGAGUUGCCCCCCAAAUACUCUGUAUUCAUGAGUAGGUCAUUUACUACCGCUGGUCUUUAGUUUCCUCAUCUCUUAAAUCCAG